This 580-nucleotide ribosomal RNA is filed under the name Citrobacter freundii. RNAcentral's name for it is "partial 23S ribosomal RNA". It matches the Rfam family "Bacterial large subunit ribosomal RNA", at positions 2219 to 2798 of the family's 2925-position model. Lineage: Bacteria; Pseudomonadati; Pseudomonadota; Gammaproteobacteria; Enterobacterales; Enterobacteriaceae. The record is from RNAcentral.
GUUCUAACGUAGACCCGUAAUCCGGGUUGCGGACAGUGUCUGGUGGGUAGUUUGACUGGGGCGGUCUCCUCCUAAAGAGUAACGGAGGAGCACGAAGGUUAGCUAAUCCUGGUCGGACAUCAGGAGGUUAGUGCAAAGGCAUAAGCUAGCUUGACUGCGAGAGUGACGGCUCGAGCAGGUGCGAAAGCAGGUCUUAGUGAUCCGGUGGUUCUGAAUGGAAGGGCCAUCGCUCAACGGAUAAAAGGUACUCCGGGGAUAACAGGCUGAUACCGCCCAAGAGUUCAUAUCGACGGCGGUGUUUGGCACCUCGAUGUCGGCUCAUCACAUCCUGGGGCUGAAGUAGGUCCCAAGGGUAUGGCUGUUCGCCAUUUAAAGUGGUACGCGAGCUGGGUUUAGAACGUCGUGAGACAGUUCGGUCCCUAUCUGCCGUGGGCGCUGGAGAAUUGAGGGGGGCUGCUCCUAGUACGAGAGGACCGGAGUGGACGCAUCACUGGUGUUCGGGUUGUCAUGCCAAUGGCAUUGCCCGGUAGCUAAAUGCGGAAGAGAUAAGUGCUGAAAGCAUCUAAGCACGAAACUUGCC